GUUGAAGCUGUUGCAUUUAAAUCUGCAAAUAUUAAACAUAAAAGUGGAGCAAAGCAAAUAGAUUAAUGACUUCUUCAAAAGUUCAUGGCUUAAGAAAUGCCAAACAUGAAACUGAAUACUUUAUAUUUCCACCAGUAACAAAUUAAUGGCUUUUCUUAAUUCAAGGUUUCAGUGGAAAUGUAUCUGAUAAAAAGAUUUUGCAAUGACCUCAAAUUUCA
This 218-nucleotide unclassified non-coding RNA is filed under the name Hevea brasiliensis (rubber tree). Lineage: Eukaryota; Viridiplantae; Streptophyta; Magnoliopsida; Malpighiales; Euphorbiaceae. The record is from RNAcentral.